RNAcentral lists this long non-coding RNA (899 nucleotides) under Strongylocentrotus purpuratus (purple sea urchin). RNAcentral describes it as "uncharacterized LOC105444487, transcript variant X2". Lineage: Eukaryota; Metazoa; Echinodermata; Echinoidea; Camarodonta; Strongylocentrotidae. The record is from RNAcentral.
CUCUUCAACAUCUCAGGCAAUGUGAACACCCCCUGUACCGUGGAGGAGUCCAAGUCUAUCCCCCUCAAGUUCUUGAUUGAGAAGCACGCUGGUGGUGUAGAGGGGGGUUGGGAUAACCUCUUAGCUGUCAUCCCAGGGGGUUCAUGUACUUCUAUGAUCCCUAAAGAAUCAUCUGCAGGAGGGGAGCUCUGUAGUUCGCUGGCUUCUGACGUGAACAAAACCAAGCCACCAAACUCUUCAACAUCUCAGGCAAUGUGAACACCCCCUGUACCGUGGAGGAGUCCAAGUCUAUCCCCCUCAAGUUCUUGAUUGAGAAGCACGCUAGUGGUGUAGAGGGGGGUUGGGAUGUCUACCCAGGGGGUUCAUGUACUUCUAUGAUCCCUAAAGAAUCUUCUGCAGGAGGGGAGCUCUGUAGUUCGCUGGCUUCUUGACGUGAACAAAACCAAGCCACCAAACUCUUCAACAUCUCAGGCAAUGUGAACACCCCCUGUACCGUGGAGGAGUCCAAGUCUACCCCCCUCAAGUUCUUGAUUGAGAAGCACGCUGGUGGUGUAGAGGGGGGUUGGGAUAACCUCUUAGCUGUCAUCCCAGGGGGUUCAUGUACUUCUAUGAUCCCUAAAGAAUCAUCUACAGGAGGGGAGCUCUGUGGUUCGCUGGCUUCUGACGUGAACAAAACCAAGCCACCAAACUCUUCAACAUCUCAGGCAAUGUGAACACCCCCUGUACCGUGGAGGAGUCCAAGUCUAUCCCCCUCAAGUUCUUGAUUGAGAAGCACGCUGGUGGUGUAGAGGGGGGUUGGGAUAACCUCUUAGCUGUCUACCCAGGGGGUUCAUGUACUUCUAUGAUCCCUAAAGAAUCAUCUACAGGAGGGGAGCUCUGUGGUUCGCUGGCUUCUGACG